RNAcentral lists this long non-coding RNA (1399 nucleotides) under Sparus aurata (gilthead seabream). RNAcentral describes it as "lncRNA (ENSSAUG00010015742.1)". The record is from RNAcentral. Lineage: Eukaryota; Metazoa; Chordata; Actinopteri; Spariformes; Sparidae.
UACGAAUACGAAUGUUAGAAUCAUGCACAUGUCUUUUUGACAGCAAUCUUACUCCAUACAGAAGCAGCCUCUGAGCUGUGGAGCCCAGCAGGAGGAAACUGGACCUGAGAUCAGAGCUAACAUCACUGUUCCUGCUCACAUUCAUCCCAGUGGAGUUUUCAUGUGGAACAAGUUCAGAUCUCAGGAGCAGACUCACCUUUAGUGGUUCUGUGUGGGCUGUGAGGUCCAGUCUGCUGCUCAUCAUCUGCACUCAAGUUCUGACGCUGACAUUCACUUUUAUCCGUUUCAGGGUCCAACACUGGAUGCGUUGCUACUAUUGUGGUUCUUAUCCUCCUUUUAGUUGUUGUUGGUGGGCUUUACUUGAAGAAUCGCAUCACACAAAAAAUGCACCAUAAUAUACAUUACUAUCAGCCCUUCACAAUAAGAGCUGGUCCACAUGCAGCACAGUGACAUGUACCUGUAACAGAAGAGAGCAGGUGGCCUUUAAUGCUGACAGAACUGAUUAUUAAUGAAUCCUUCUGUGAAGUGAGAAUUAAAUGAAUUCUGAUAUUUGGUGAGAUUCAGUUCCACUCUUGUGCAGCUUGAAGAGAAAAAAUGAUGGAGCGAACAAACGUUGUGUUAUUAAUGUUGUUGAGGACAAAGACGCAGUUAAUCACACGUCGCUGGUUGGAUCCCCGGCUCCUCCCGUCCACAUGUCCAAGUGUCCUUGAGCAACAGGCUGAAGCCCAAACUGCUCCUGAUGGUCAGACCAGCACCUUGCAUGGUAGCUGACUGCCAUCAGUGAGUGAGUGAGUGAGUGAAUGGAUGAAUGAGGGCAGCAGUGAUGUAUAAAUGCGUCUAUUUACCAAAUCUUCUCAGACUGCUUGUAGAGCUUAAAGCUCCUGACUGAGCUCCACAUGUGCUUUAAAACCAUCAGACUUCACUGAACUGAAGCUGCUGUUAACGCUGUCAGUCACUGUGAAUAUAAUGUGACUUUACAUUUGACAUUUGUGUUGUUGGCAUUAUUUGGGUGGAGCCUGUGUUGGUUCUUGUUUGUGUUUUAAGGUGCUCAGCAGUCUGUCAGGUCCAGUUCCACACUGAUGGUUCUGUUGUUCACUGAUGAUGCUCUUGUCGUGUUUCAGGUCAUUUCAGGCAGCGCUUCAUCAUUUCUGUACAAACGUUUGAAUAAAACAUGAAAACUGUCAAACUGUGUGUUGUGACUGUUUCUGAUGUUUCUGUGUUCAAACUGGGAUCAAAGAAAUAAAAGUGAUGUUAAUUUCUGGGUGUGAUUCUGAGAUGAUCUCUAUUUUACAGACAUUAAAACAGUUUGAAUGAAACAAUAUUUCAGAUACGUCAGAUUUAAAACAAAGCUUCUAACAAACAGACAGUUUACUGCACUGACAACUUCAUUAAUGCAAAU